CCUGUGGGGAAAGAAAGUGUCCAGUCAGCAGGGUGUCAUAUCUCAGUCACCACCCCUAUCCUGAGCUUUAAGACCAACACACCACCACCACCACUACCACCAACACCACCACCACCACCACCACCACCACCACCACCGUCUAUGACAUCACAGCCACUUAGCAGACUUAAAGGAGAAGGGGAAGGGAAGCAGCCCGUUAGACACAUUGAGUGAGAUUCAGACUCCCCUCCCAUUCUGACCAGAAUUUUUAGUCUUGACUUUCCAGAAGAGAGAACAGAAACCAUUCAAUAUCUAGAACCAUUUCAAGAAAACUAGAUAUUUACAGAACAAGAAACGAGGCAAACUAUUCCAUUUUUCACAUUUAUUUCUUGUGAGUGUGUAUAUACACAUACACACACCUGUGCCCUUAGACUUAUGCACACAUGUCACAGAUGUUAUACAUCCUGAACUCUUUAUUAAUGUCAGACCAAGCAUGAGGAGUAAAUGUGUCUGGAGGGUAAGGGAGACAGAUGCUGAAUAGCCCUGCUCUAAGCAACACUGUAAGGAAUGACUGUACUGCACAGCUUUAGAAGUUAGGAGAGUCAGAGUGGACAGAGGGACCACACGGAUCAGGUAAAGAAACAGUUGUGGUAUGCAACAGAUCUUGUCUGUCCUGUGAGCCUGGGAGCCUCUGAAGUAUCCAUACACUGCCACCUUCCAGCCUGUGCCACCCAGAAUGCACACCAUGUGGAGAAGAUCAAUCUGUGUGCUGCUGAGCAAGAACGCAGAGAACCAGCAGCAGGACUGGCCCACCAGCGUGAUGAUUGCCGCCUGUGUUUCUGCCACCUAGUUCUACCCUCGGGGCUUGGCCACCUUCCCAUAAAAACAGAGAAGGCCCUGAGUGGGAGAUGUGAGACUAGCAUUGCUUCUUAUUAUUAGCAUAUAUUAAUUGCAUAAGCUAAUUGAUUUCACGAUGAGAUUUUCAUAGUUUUGCAUCCUAUACUUUGAUCAUAUCCUCUGACUAUUAACCUCUCGUGUUCCCAACACGUCCUGCUGGCCACUGGUUCCCUUCCCGUCCUCAAAUACACCCCUUCUGUGUUCAUGAGAGAUAGAUACUACUGGAGACUAUCAUUUGUACGUGGGGUGCCUUUGUUCUUCUUCAUGCAGGAUGCGGGGGUCUAGACUGAGGGCUAAAUCAUGAUGUCACUGUAGUUUGGAUUUUAUCUGAGUGUGUCCCCCAGUGGCUCAUACAUUGUGAGCCCAGUACCUGGUGUGGCAAAGCUGAGAGGUGAUGGAAUCUUUAUGAGGCAAAGUCAUAUGGAAUUUGGUCUGGUUGUUGGGGAUGCUCUCCUUGGAAGGGCUUAUGGGAUCCCAGUCAGCUUCUGUGUGAGUGAGUUAUAACCCCUGAGUCUGAGUUCUUCUCAUCAGCCAUGAGGUCACUCCUUCAUGGAUACUUUCCUGCCAAAUGCUGUCUGCCAUGUUGUGAUACAGCUAGUAGCCUUUACAAGAGCCAAACAGAAGGCAGCUCUGUUCUCUUAGAUCUCCAGAACAGUUAGGUACAGAGACCUCUCUUCUUUAUAUAGUACUCAACCUUGGGAAGUUUGUUUAAGCAAAGGAAAGCACACUAAGAUAGACAUCAGUCCUAGAGGAAACAAAUGGAGAAGCCACGGUGUGUCCACUUCUCCUCCCUUGUUGGGACUCUAAAUAGGGCCUACGUAAGGAUCAACAGAUUUUGGACAAGUGAUCAGAAUAACACUGAGUGCCUAAAACUCAAUGACCUAAUUCACGAAGCCACCAUCCCUGCAUACACUAAAGAGACAAAGAUGAUGGACGAUUAUUCUGGCAGAUUCGGAUACUUCCGUGGUCGAAUCAUUAUUGGAUUGGUUUGCUUUUUGAACGUCGUCGGUGAAAUGGAAUCUGUGUGCGAAUGCAUCAGGAGCUCUGGAUGCAUUCACUGGAGGGGGUAAUCUGAGUAGUACUAGAAUUUCAAGAAGUCUGGGUCGUUCUACAGCCUUAGUUGAACUCCAUGGAAGUUUUGUCAAGAAGUCAUAUCGCCUCCACUGUACACAUGGGGAAGUUAAGACCCAGCCAAUCUGAAAGAUCUGCAUUCAGACCAAGCUUCCAAUGCACACAGUGUACUCUGAAUCUUUAAUUCCCCAAAUGUGCACAGGGACUUCCCUAGUUAGUUUCAGCUGUUGACUUCAUGCAAACUAGAGUCACUCAGGAAGAAGCCAUCACAAGUGAGACAUUGCCUUCAUCGGACUGCCUUGGAUGUAGCAGGUCACGCCCUGCUGAGGGUGGUGCCAUUACCUAGGCAAGUAGUUAGGUCUGAGCUACACUACAUAAGGAAGCUAGCUGAGCCAGCCAAAGGGGAAGGAAAACAGCAGGAAUCCAAAAAAGCCAUGCAAUACCAAAACAAGAAUCAAGGUUAAGUGUAAAUUUUAGCACACGGUGGUGAGAUCCUUGAUUCUCAAAUGAAAGGUGUUCAAGACAUUUUUACACACCCUACCAAUUUCUGAAUCAAGGCAAAUCCCAGUUUCUGUCUCCCAUCAGCCUAUUUGAGGCCCCUUAUAUGGAACUGCCUUGUGUAUGUUGAUGUCCGCUGUCUUUUGAUGAGAGAAUGACAGCAAUGGGUUUCAAAUAAGCCACAGUAAAGAACACCACAGAAUACAUCACUCUGCACAUCCAGGUCUCACACUUGGACAACAGAAGGGGCUGAGAGGCACCACUCCGCUUAGGAGCCUUCUAAUCCUGUCUCUGAGGUAGAUAGAGACAGAGCAAAAACUUCACAUACAAAUGGGGCACAUUAUGGACGGGGAUGAAGCUGGUUCAGGCAUCAGGGGGACAGGGCUGUCCCUCAGUUGCCUACAAACUUCCAUCUAUCCAUAGUGUGAUGAAAGAUUGGCCAAGGUACCCAACCAUACUGUAGGAGACCACACAUGAGCUGGUGACAGGUGUUCAUGAGUUGCAGAUAAUGACUACCGAUCUCUUUAAAGCACAGUUGGGUCCAACAGUUUUAAGCCUAAGAAGGGUCUGACCCAUUAGUUCCCACUGGACAGACCAAUCAAGGUGGUGGCAGUGAGCAGCAGCACCCCACAUUGGGGACAGCCUAUGGUCGGGUACGAAAAUGAAGGGCCCUUGGUCGGAUACCUUCACUUGUUUUCUGGUGUCUUCCUUCUCUAUAGGAGUGGUCAGGUUUAGGUCUGGCAAUGAGUUUGGAAUCAGAUUACCACUUCCCAACUUGGUUGCUGCUUAACAGUAGAAGGAAUUGUCCCUCUCUGUCUGAUCUGGAUCCAUUAACUGGAUCCCCCUCCCCCAGUUCCCCAUUCCCACGGCCUUGAAAGUGAGAUGUUUCAAGUUCAGAGGAACCAAUGUCAGUGGAUGCGUUUCAUUGGAAUGACGUUUUGCAAACGCAGCUUGAGGCUUGCUGAGCACAGAAUCCCCUGCUAGAAGGAGCUCCUGCAGAUGGCAGGACUGGAGAGAGCCUGAGUCCAAACAGCCUUGUGAGACCGUGCAGGUUGUUGAAGAACCAGUAAGGAUUCCAGUAAGUCACCUAAGAGGCCCUCUUUCUAUCCCUCUCUCCCCUACCUCAGAGAUUACCACCCCCUGGCCAUGUACGAUGUCUCUCUACUCUCCAACUGCUCUCUACUACUCCUUCCCUUGGGGUCUUUACACAGCCCUCCCCCACCAUCCCAGUGUGUUCUUCCAUUUCUGCCUUCACCUUAUCCUUCAGCAUAGGAUACCUCUGCUUCUGGAAUGACUUCUUGAUUGUUCUAAACCCAUCAUUGUGGCUGUCAAAGACGUGACUUCAGUCCCACUCUUAACGUCAAAAGCUGAGCAAGUAAAAUAGCCAUGCCUGAUCCUCUCCAAGAAGACUAGUAACACCAUGAGGACAGGGGCCCUGGGGUUUUGUUGAGGGAGGGGUGGUUCAUUUGUUUGCUUGCUUGCUGGCUUGUUCUGAUAUUGCUGUUAGCUAUUACGACAUGACUCAAGCUCAUCACAGACAUCAGUAUUUUUCUAGCAGCAGAUAUGAGUGAAACAUGCAAGAGCCAUAACA
Mus musculus (house mouse) is the source of this 4036-nucleotide long non-coding RNA. RefSeq annotates it as predicted gene, 30544. The transcript is spliced from 5 exons. The record is from RefSeq and is a predicted model, not a curated record. Lineage: Eukaryota; Metazoa; Chordata; Mammalia; Rodentia; Muridae.